GGGCGAUUAGCUCAGCUGGUCCAGAGCGCCUGCUUUACACGCAGGAUGUCGGCGGUUCGAAUCCGUCAUCGCCCACAA
This 78-nucleotide transfer RNA is filed under the name Candidatus Zhuqueibacterota bacterium. RNAcentral describes it as "candidate division KSB1 bacterium tRNA-Val". It matches the Rfam family "tRNA". From Rfam's summary of the family: Transfer RNA (tRNA) molecules are approximately 80 nucleotides in length. Their secondary structure includes four short double-helical elements and three loops (D, anti-codon, and T loops). Further hydrogen bonds mediate the characteristic L-shaped molecular structure. tRNAs have two regions of fundamental functional importance: the anti-codon, which is responsible for specific mRNA codon recognition, and the 3' end, to which the tRNAs corresponding amino acid is attached (by aminoacyl-tRNA synthetases). tRNAs cope with the degeneracy of the genetic code in two manners: having more than one tRNA (with a specific anti-codon) for a particular amino acid; and 'wobble' base-pairing, i.e. permitting non-standard base-pairing at the 3rd anti-codon position. Lineage: Bacteria; Pseudomonadati. The record is from RNAcentral.